CGGGUGAGUAACGCGUGAGGAACCUGCCUCAAAGAGGGGGACAACAGUUGGAAACGACUGCUAAUACCGCAUAAGCCCACGGCUCGGCAUCGAGCAGAGGGAAAAGGAGUGAUCCACUUUGAGAUGGCCUCGCGUCCGAUUAGCUAGUUGGUGAGGUAGCGGCCCACCAAGGCGACGAUCGGUAGCCGGACUGAGAGGUUGAACGGCCACAUUGGGACUGAGACACGGCCCAG
Molecule: ribosomal RNA, 233 nt
Filed under: uncultured bacterium
Lineage: Bacteria
Description: partial 16S ribosomal RNA
Rfam family: Bacterial small subunit ribosomal RNA
Source: RNAcentral